This 159-nucleotide ribosomal RNA is filed under the name Chionanthus sp. DH-2011. RNAcentral's name for it is "5.8S ribosomal RNA". It matches the Rfam family "5.8S ribosomal RNA". Rfam says of the family: 5.8S ribosomal RNA (5.8S rRNA) is a component of the large subunit of the eukaryotic ribosome. It is transcribed by RNA polymerase I as part of the 45S precursor that also contains 18S and 28S rRNA. The record is from RNAcentral. RNAcentral also lists the same sequence under 1 other name. Lineage: Eukaryota; Viridiplantae; Streptophyta; Magnoliopsida; Lamiales; Oleaceae.
CUCGGCAACGGAUAUCUCGGCUCUCGCAUCGAUGAAGAACGCAGCAAAAUGCGAUACUUGGUGUGAAUUGCAGAAUCCCGUGAACCAUCGAGUUUUUGAACGCAAGUUGCGCCCGAAGCCUCCGUGCUGAGGGCACGUCUGCCUGGGCGUCACGCAUCA